AGUAGAACGCUGAGAACUGGUGCUUGCACCGGUUCAAGGAGUUGCGAACGGGUGAGUAACGCGUAGGUAACCUACCUCAUAGCGGGGGAUAACUAUUGGAAACGAUAGCUAAUACCGCAUAAGAGAGACUAACGCAUGUUAGUAAUUUAAAAGGGGCAAUUGCUCCACUAUGAGAUGGACCUGCGUUGUAUUAGCUAGUUUGGUGAGGUAAAGGCUCACCAAGGCGACGAUACAUAGCCGACCUGAGAGGGUGAUCGGCCACACUGGGACUGAGACACGGCCCAGACUCCUACGGGAGGCAGCAGUAGGGAAUCUUCGGCAAUGGGGGCAACCCUGACCGAGCAACGCCGCGUGAGUGAAGAAGGUUUUCGGAUCGUAAAGCUCUGUUGUUAGAGAAGAAUGAUGGUGGGAGUGGAAAAUCCACCAAGUGACGGUAACUAACCAGAAAGGGACGGCUAACUACGUGCCAGCAGCCGCGGUAAUACGUAGGUCCCGAGCGUUGUCCGGAUUUAUUGGGCGUAAAGCGAGCGCAGGCGGUUUUUUAAGUCUGAAGUUAAAGGCAUUGGCUCAACCAAUGUACGCUUUGGAAACUGGAGAACUUGAGUGCAGAAGGGGAGAGUGGAAUUCCAUGUGUAGCGGUGAAAUGCGUAGAUAUAUGGAGGAACACCGGUGGCGAGAGCGGCUCUCUGGUCUGUAACUGACGCUGAGGCUCGAAAGCGUGGGG
This 724-nucleotide ribosomal RNA is filed under the name uncultured Streptococcaceae bacterium. Its description in RNAcentral is "bacterial SSU rRNA". It matches the Rfam family "Bacterial small subunit ribosomal RNA", at positions 60 to 766 of the family's 1533-position model. Lineage: Bacteria; Bacillati; Bacillota; Bacilli; Lactobacillales; Streptococcaceae. The record is from RNAcentral.